Magnolia sinica is the source of this 315-nucleotide long non-coding RNA. RefSeq lists it as uncharacterized. The record is from RefSeq and is a predicted model, not a curated record. Lineage: Eukaryota; Viridiplantae; Streptophyta; Magnoliopsida; Magnoliales; Magnoliaceae. The transcript is spliced from 6 exons.
AGGUUUUAGGUUAAGGUUAUAGGUUUAGGUUAAGGUUUUAGGCUAAGGUUUUAGGUCAUAGGUUUAGGUUUAUGUUUAGGUUGUAGGUUUAGGUUUUAAGUCAUAGGUUUUGGUUUAGGUUAAGGUUAUAGGUAUAGGUUAAGGUUUUAGGUCAUAGGUUUUGGUUUAAGUUAAGGUUAUAGGUAUAGGUUAAGGUUUUAGGUCAUAGGUUUAGGUUUAGGUUAAGGUUUUAGGUAUAGGUUAAGGUUUAGGUUUAGGUUAAGGUUUUAGGUUAUAGGUUUUUGUUUAGGUUAAGGUUAUUGGUAUAGGUUAAGG